RNAcentral lists this ribosomal RNA (583 nucleotides) under Macrophomina phaseolina. Its description in RNAcentral is "eukaryotic LSU rRNA". The stretch from base 213 to 366 matches the Rfam family "5.8S ribosomal RNA". The record is from RNAcentral. Lineage: Eukaryota; Fungi; Ascomycota; Dothideomycetes; Botryosphaeriales; Botryosphaeriaceae.
UCCGUAGGUGAACCUGCGGAAGGAUCAUUACCGAGUUGAUUCGGGCUCCGUCCCGAUCCUCCCACCCUUUGUAUACCUACCUCUGUUGCUUUGGCGGGCCGCGGUCUUCCGCGGCCGCCCCCCGAUUUUGGGGGGUGGCUAGUGCCCGCCAGAGGACUAUCAAACUCCAGUCAGUAAACGUUGCAGUCUGAAAAAAAUAUUAAAUAAACUAAAACUUUCAACAACGGAUCUCUUGGUUCUGGCAUCGAUGAAGAACGCAGCGAAAUGCGAUAAGUAAUGUGAAUUGCAGAAUUCAGUGAAUCAUCGAAUCUUUGAACGCACAUUGCGCCCCUUGGUAUUCCGGGGGGCAUGCCUGUUCGAGCGUCAUUUCAACCCUCAAGCUCUGCUUGGUAUUGGGCACCGUCCUUUGCGGGCGCGCCUCAAAGACCUCGGCGGUGGCGUCUUGCCUCAAGCGUAGUAGAAUACACCUCGCUUCGGAGCGUAAGGCGUCGCCCGCCGGACGAACCUUCUGAACUUUUCUCAAGGUUGACCUCGGAUCAGGUAGGGAUACCCGCUGAACUUAAGCAUAUCAAUAAGCGGAGGA